AGGUUGUAACCUGCUCCUUUGGUUUGAUGGCUAUGGUACAUAAUCAUUGCUCUCGCGUACUGAGUCGAUUAUGAAGCUCCCAGCCUCGCCAACCAAAAUAGGAGUUUCAGUUAUAUAUUGCCAUGUCAAAUCAUCACACUGAUACAAUACGAACAACACAACAUGAUCAUCGGAUCGAUCGUUGCAAAUUGUCGGUCGAUCGCGCCGCAUGCCCCUUGUAUGCUCCGCUGGGCGCAAGCUGCUUCAACACCACUUAAAUUCAACCCGACAUCACCUAACUUAGUUCACCAUAAAACCCACGCACCGGUAUUAGGAACCCUAAGCAUACCCUCACUCUCUGGUAGGAUCGAGGAUGAUCUCCCGUUAUCAGCUAGAUUGAUCGAUCUUGAGCACCACUCACUUUAGUACCACUCAUCACACUCAUCUCUGAAGCCAAUAAAAUCAUUAUGAGGGUCAACGAGAGCCAUCAGUUAUCGGUUAACCAACAAGCAGACCGCGCGCGUACAAGUUACAAGUACCUAGUUCGUUUAGUUGUGGAUAGUUCGGGUCUGACCGAUAGCGUAGCAAAAAUCAGCAUGAAUACUCCAAGUUCAGCUAUGUGCCCUAGGGAGUAGAGCAAAUUCUGCGAGAUCGGUAAGGCUUAAGCUAGACAAAGUUUAGUAGGGGCCAAGUGUACCAGAGAUUUAAUUUUUAUUCUUGAUGCCUGUUUAGGCCUUUUCUUUGAUCCAACAUCAUGGUGGUGCUUUGUGCCAUGAUUAGGUGGUGUCGUGGUGGUGAUAGCGCCAAGGGCGUGCCAAGCAGCGGGGUUGCCGGCAUGGCGCCGGUGGUAUUUCCCCCCUUCGACUGUCCGGACAGAUCAAGAUGUGCUGUCGCCGUGGGAUACACGCGAACACUAUCACCACACUCAACAUUACCAAUAGGUUAAGGAUAAUUAGGAUAAGUUCAACAAUAUACGUAAGUACACCUCAUUUGAUCACUACAUUUUUUAUCUGGGAAAGUGAAAUUUCUUUUUUGUCUGGGAUGGCUCGUAUAACUUAGCGUGUGGUUCCGCCUUUUAUCGAACCAGAUUUUUGCCAUGGGUCAAGUCAUUGGGUCGGGGGACCAAUGCCCAAGGCAACUCUUCUUCUUUACUACCUAUUUUUGUCUCCGAGUCUCAUGCGCCCUCUGCGGAGCGGUGACAAGGUUUCAAGGGUGUUUUGGGGAGUUUCAGAGGCAUUCCAGGGGACUUGAGAGGUUUUCAUGUGGUUUCAGGGGCGUUUCUGUAGAUUUCAGGAGCGUUCCAGAGAUUUAAAAGGGCUUCUUGCUGGUUAGGUGCUACGUUCACACAGGAACUCAACCUCUUUUCACUUUGAGUAUUCUUUCAGCCCUUCCACAGUGAUUAAUGAAGGGCAUGAAGCUUGCAAUCAAGCUUCAUUUGUUUACGAUACGCUGCCAAACAGAGGUAACAAUGAUCUUUUGUCCCACAAGGGGUUCAUUUUUAACUUGCUUUGGUGGGGCAUUUCUUUUAUUGUUCUCCGUUAUUAAAUGAUAUAGAGACAAAGUUUCAAGCAAUUAAAAAAAUAUGUUCAAUUUAAUUAAAGCCACUUAAGUACAAUAUAAUUAAUUAAUGUACAAAAAACUAUUAUACUAAUUAAAACUUACAUCGACUUUUGAAUUUGGUUGUGGAGCUUAAAGUAUAAAUUAAAA
Aedes albopictus (Asian tiger mosquito) is the source of this 1686-nucleotide long non-coding RNA. RefSeq lists it as uncharacterized. The transcript is spliced from 2 exons. Lineage: Eukaryota; Metazoa; Arthropoda; Insecta; Diptera; Culicidae. The record is from RefSeq and is a predicted model, not a curated record.